GAUGAACGCUGGCGGCGUGCCUAAUACAUGCAAGUCGAGCGAACGGACGAGAAGCUUGCUUCUCUGAUGUUAGCGGCGGACGGGUGAGUAACACGUGGAUAACCUACCUAUAAGACUGGGAUAACUUCGGGAAACCGGAGCUAAUACCGGAUAAUAUUUUGAACCGCAUGGUUCAAAAGUGAAAGACGGUCUUGCUGUCACUUAUAGAUGGAUCCGCGCUGCAUUAGCUAGUUGGUAAGGUAACGGCUUACCAAGGCAACGAUGCAUAGCCGACCUGAGAGGGAGAUCGGCCACACUGGAACUGAGACACGGUCCAGACUCCUACGGGAGGCAGCAGUAGGGAAUCUUCCGCAAUGGACGAAAGCCUGACGGAGCAACGCCGCGUGAGUGAUGAAGGUCUUCGGAUCGUAAAGCUCUGUUAUUAGGAAAGAACAUAUGUGUAAGUAACUGUGCACAUCUUGACGGUACCUAAUCAGAAAGCCCCGGCUAACUACGUG
Molecule: ribosomal RNA, 497 nt
Filed under: uncultured bacterium
Lineage: Bacteria
Description: partial 16S ribosomal RNA
Rfam family: Bacterial small subunit ribosomal RNA
Source: RNAcentral